Molecule: long non-coding RNA, 302 nt
Organism: Sitophilus oryzae (rice weevil)
Lineage: Eukaryota; Metazoa; Arthropoda; Insecta; Coleoptera; Curculionidae
Exons: 3
Source: RefSeq, a predicted model, not a curated record
AGUGUCUUGUCAAAAAUUAUUUUGUUCUUUUUCACGAUAUUUUUGUAGAAAUACUCGUACUUAGUAGCUUUUUUGAUAAAAUUAUCCUCCUGGAACUCUGUUAUGUCUAUUAAAGCGGAGAGAUAUUUUGAUGAUUAUACAGGAGAAAAUGGUAUUUAAGCUAGAAGAUGGAGCAUUUCUCUUAUAUGAUAAAGGUUCGUGCAAGUUUAAUUAUGUUACCAAGGAGUGAACCAUGGAAUCACGUGAAUAAAAACGACAAAUAAACUGCAUUCACUGAAAUAAUUUUUGUUAAAGCGAGAUAC